CCCACCUACUGGGUCCCACUCUCUCAGAACCGUCAUUAAAUCCUGCCGGGGGUGGCGAGUGGGAGUAGGGAGGUGUUCCUUGGUGUACCAUUUGGGAACUACGGGAAAAGAAUUCUGCCUAGAAUAAAAAGGGUGCCGCUUUGCAGCCACUAAGAUGUCCUCUCUGAGCUUUUCUGAGAAGGCAGCUCCCGCAGUCAGAGGGAUGGAGCUUGCUGGGCAGCCGUUGCUGCCGCCUGGAGGAUGGGUCUCUGAGGGGGCCAGAGGGCCCUGGGCAGGUGUUGGGGGCCUGUGGGUAGUGGGUCAGGCUCUGCAGGACACAGUGCUGUGAGUUACAGGACUUCUGCGUGCCAAGGCACUGGGCCAGAUCGCCCCUUCCCCAUUUGUGACCCUCUCUGUCCCCAUCUCUGGUCACCUCCAGGAAGAGAACCUGGAAAUUCUGCUUCGGUGGCUGAAGUAGAUGUCACUGACCUCCCGAUGGUCAAAAGUGAGCAACACUUUACAGUUUACAAAGCAGUUUCACAUCCAUUCCCUGGUUUGAUUUGAUCUUUGCAACGGUUGGUAAGGAUAGCGCUGUGGCUAAUCCCUCCACCCCCAACUGCCUGGAGAGAAGAGGAAGUAGAGCAUCAGGAGUUGCGUAAAUUGCCCUCAGCGGCGAGAGGAGGUUGGAGUCCCAGACUCCAUUUCCAGUGACUUCCGGGCACCCUUGGCCUUUCCCCAGCCUCUCCCCACCCGGACUCUUCAUCUCGCUGACUGAGUAAUGCAGAGACUGAGGCCCAGAAGACUCUUGCCCAAGAACACAAAGCUGAUGAGAGAACUGAGGCCACUUGCCCUCCAUUAUGCAGCUGGUAAGUGGUAGAGCCAGGGCCACCCAGUUGGCUUGACCAUCAUGCAGUUUGUCCUUGAGGAAGAGGAUGCUGCUGGCCCAGUGGUGGAGUCCCUCUAGCCUGCUUCCUCUAGGACAUAGAACCUGGAAAUUCUGCUUUGGUGGCUGAAGCAGAUGUCACUGACUUCCUAAUGGUACUCCUCAGCCAAGUGAGCAGCACUUUGCAACUUUCAAGGAGGAGGGAGUCCACGGUCUGGCUUUUUGGGGGCGCCAGCCAAGGGUGUCCGACUCCCUCUUUUGCUCCGCCAUCUCCCUGCAGGCGCGCAGGCGGGCAGAAGUGGAGCCUGAUUCCCGCCGCCCACCGCGGCAGCUCAUUUUUCAUUCAUUUUCUUUAAAUGCUUCUUGCUCUGUUUUUAAAUCUAAUUUUUCAGCUUCUUUUUUUAUCUUCACUCAAGUUGCUUUAAUGAAACGAAAACGUGUCUGUUUCCCUCUGCUGGAGCUGCCUGGGGAAUUUCAACAUAAAACAAACAAGUUGGCUUUUAAAAUUAAAAUUUUAUGGGUGGCAUUUCCUCAUUUAAUGGGAGGCACAAAAGGCUGGAGCAAAA
Non-coding RNA from Delphinapterus leucas (beluga whale), 1428 nucleotides. The record is from RefSeq and is a predicted model, not a curated record. Lineage: Eukaryota; Metazoa; Chordata; Mammalia; Artiodactyla; Monodontidae.